UACGGAGGGUGCAAGCGUUGUUCGGAAUUAUUGGGCGUAAAGCGCGUGUAGGCGGUUUGUUAAGUCUGGUGUGAAAGCCCGGGGCUCAACCCCGGAAGUGCACUGGAUACUGGCAGACUAGAGUGCGAGAGAGGAAGGUAGAAUUCCUGGUGUAGGGGUGAAAUCCGUAGAUACCAGGAGGAAUAUCGGAGGCGAAGGCGGCCUUCUGGCUCGUGGCUGACGAUGAGACGCGAAAGAGUGGGGAGCAAACAGG
Molecule: ribosomal RNA, 253 nt
Filed under: uncultured bacterium
Lineage: Bacteria
Description: partial 16S ribosomal RNA
Rfam family: Bacterial small subunit ribosomal RNA
Source: RNAcentral